RNAcentral lists this transfer RNA (73 nucleotides) under Parcubacteria group bacterium. RNAcentral describes it as "tRNA-Met". It matches the Rfam family "tRNA". From Rfam's summary of the family: Transfer RNA (tRNA) molecules are approximately 80 nucleotides in length. Their secondary structure includes four short double-helical elements and three loops (D, anti-codon, and T loops). The record is from RNAcentral.
CGCGGGGUAGAGCAGUUGGCAGCUCGGGAGGCCCAUAACCUCCAGGUCGUCGGUUCGAGUCCGACCCCCGCAA